ACGUCAAUAAGACACGUAUUACCUUGCAAAAAAAAAGAUGUGUGUGAUGUGCCGGACCUGCUUGAUGAUCCCGUCUGGAUUGCUGGUUCUCCGUGCUGCAUUCUCUUUCUGUUCAUGAUGACCGGAGUUGAUUCAAAGCCUGUGUCUUGCUGGGCCCCGUUCUUGAUGAACUUCUCCGCCCAUCGAUUUGAUUCAAAGCCUGUCCGUCGACAUGUGCCGUGGGGUUAGGCAAAGUGUGGGGAGGUAGUGAGAGCGUGGCAAGAGAUGUCAUCGAGAUCUUACCUUGCUGUGCGCCAGAGCCUGCCUGCGGCGUCGCCGGGAG
Molecule: long non-coding RNA, 322 nt
Filed under: Triticum aestivum (bread wheat)
Lineage: Eukaryota; Viridiplantae; Streptophyta; Magnoliopsida; Poales; Poaceae
Description: long non-coding RNA (TAES_LNC001004)
Source: RNAcentral